Molecule: long non-coding RNA, 315 nt
Organism: Vidua chalybeata
Lineage: Eukaryota; Metazoa; Chordata; Aves; Passeriformes; Viduidae
Exons: 4
Source: RefSeq, a predicted model, not a curated record
CUUUCAGGUUGCACCCAGAACACUAGGGGGUGAUGACAAUCCCUAGAAAUAGAUUAAAAGACUUGAGGGUGUUAGCUGGGAUUUUUGUAAGUGAACCUAAGUGGAUUAGGAACCCAGCACUCUUCACAGCUCUUGAAUCCAGCAGUUCCUGCAGAAGCCACUUAAAAAUGUUUCCACUCAUUCACUGGGUGCUGAACACUUCAGAAAAUCAGAUUGUGAAGCUACAAUCAAAUUCACUUGACUUAUGCUAUUUCCAGCUCUUAUGGAGGUCAACAACAAUUGUAUUUCCUGCUUUAGCAUGAAAUUUUCCUUCCU